AUGGAAAGUACUCAAGUGGAGAAAUUGAGGAGAGAAAAGAUAACAAUGGGAGAUGAUGCGAGUACUUGGAGCGAGGAGAAGGGUGAGAAUGCUAAGAGUGCUCAUGCAUGCAAUAUUUUUGUUCUUGGAACAAAACCUCUUGACAGAAGUUUAGCGCUUGAGGAUAAUAUUUAUGGAUAUGGUAUAACAAACAAGGUGGUUAAUCUUACUGGUUGUGACAGUACUACAUCAUAG
Non-coding RNA from Vicia faba (fava bean), 234 nucleotides. Lineage: Eukaryota; Viridiplantae; Streptophyta; Magnoliopsida; Fabales; Fabaceae. The record is from the annotation of a GenBank genome assembly.